This 482-nucleotide ribosomal RNA is filed under the name uncultured bacterium. RNAcentral describes it as "partial 16S ribosomal RNA". It matches the Rfam family "Bacterial small subunit ribosomal RNA", at positions 30 to 507 of the family's 1533-position model. The record is from RNAcentral.
AUUGAACGCUGGCGGCAUGCUUUACACAUGCAAGUCGAACGGUAACAGCACUUCGGUGGCUGACGAGUGGCGAACGGGUGAGUAAUACAUCGGAACGUGCCUAGUAGUGGGGGAUAACUACUCGAAAGAGUAGCUAAUACCGCAUGAGAUCUAAGGAUGAAAGCAGGGGACCUUCGGGCCUUGCGCUACUAGAGCGGCUGAUGGCAGAUUAGGUAGUUGGUGGGAUAAAAGCUUACCAAGCCGACGAUCUGUAGCUGGUCUGAGAGGACGACCAGCCACACUGGGACUGAGACACGGCCCAGACUCCCACGGGAGGCAGCAGUGGGGAAUUUUGGACAAUGGGCGCAAGCCUGAUCCAGCAAUGCCGCGUGCAGGAUGAAGGCCUUCGGGUUGUAAACUGCUUUUGUACGGAACGAAAAGCCCUCUUCUAAUACAGGAGGGUCAUGACAGUACCGUAAGAAUAAGCACCGGCUAACUACGUG